Molecule: unclassified non-coding RNA, 180 nt
Filed under: uncultured fungus
Lineage: Eukaryota; Fungi
Description: sequence contains ITS1
Source: RNAcentral
UUGAUUGAUUCGUUAUCAGACUCAGACGCACGGAGACAGGGUUGGACGGUCCGCCGGGGGCCCCGACGCCCGAAGGCCGGGUCGCCCCCGAGGCAACUAGGUCGGAUAACAUGGGGUUGGAGGUCGGGCCUGUGGGCCCUUCGCUCGGUAAUGAUCCCUCCGCAGGUUCACCUACGGAGA